AACGAACGCUGGCGGCAUGCCUAACACAUGCAAGUCGAACGGACGGUAGCAAUACCGUUAGUGGCGAACGGGUGAGUAACGCGUGGGAACCUGCCCAGUAGUACGGAAUAACUACGGGAAACUGUAGCUAAUACCGUAUGUGUCCCGAGGGACAAAGGAGCAAUCCGCUAUUGGAAGGGCCCGCGUCGGAUUAGCUAGUUGGUGGGGUAACGGCCUACCAAGGCGACGAUCCGUAGCUGGUCUGAGAGGAUGGCCAGCCACACUGGGACUGAGACACGGCCCAGACUCCUACGGGAGGCAGCAGUGGGGAAUAUUGGACAAUGGGGGAAACCCUGAUCCAGCAAUGCCGCGUGGGUGAUGAAGGCCUUCGGGUUGUAAAGCCCUUUUGGCGGGGACGAUGAUGACGGUACCCGCAGAAUAAGCCCCGGCUAACUUCGUGCCAGCAGCCGCGGUAAUACGAAGGGGGCUAGCGUUGUUCGGAAUUACUGGGCGUAAAGGGCGCGUAGGCGGCCCUGUCAGUCGGGCGUGAAAGCCCCGGGCUCAACCCGGGAAAUGCGUUCGAUACUGCAAGGCUUGAGUGUGGGAGAGGAUGGGGGAAUUCCCAGUGUAGAGGUGAAAUUCGUAGAUAUUGGGAAAGAACACCGGUGGCGAAGGCGGCCAUCUGGACCACUACU
RNAcentral lists this ribosomal RNA (674 nucleotides) under uncultured bacterium. RNAcentral's name for it is "bacterial SSU rRNA". It matches the Rfam family "Bacterial small subunit ribosomal RNA", at positions 28 to 741 of the family's 1533-position model. The record is from RNAcentral.